ACUCCUGCGGGAGGCAGCAGUGGGGAACAUUGGACAAUGGGCGCAAGCCUGAUCCAGCCAUGCCGCGUGAGUGAUGAAGGCCCUAGGGUUGUAAAGCUCUUUCACCGGAGAAGAUAAUGACGGUAUCCGGAGAAGAAGCCCCGGCUAACUUCGUGCCAGCAGCCGCGGUAAUACGAAGGGGGCUAGCGUUGUUCGGAAUUACUGGGCGUAAAGCGCACGUAGGCGGAUCGAUCAGUCAGGGGUGAAAUCCCAGGGCUCAACCCUGGAACUGCCUUUGAUACUGUCGAUCUGGAGUAUGGAAGAGGUGAGUGGAAUUCCGAGUGUAGAGGUGAAAUUCGUAGAUAUUCGGAGGAACACCAGUGGCGAAGGCGGCUCACUGGUCCAUUACUGACGCUGAGGUGCGAAAGCGUGGGGAGCAAACAGGAUUAGAUACCCUUGUAGUCCCAUG
This 448-nucleotide ribosomal RNA is filed under the name uncultured organism. RNAcentral's name for it is "partial 16S ribosomal RNA". It matches the Rfam family "Bacterial small subunit ribosomal RNA", at positions 335 to 799 of the family's 1533-position model. The record is from RNAcentral.